GCUCCGGUGGCCUAGUGGUUAGAGCAUCCGCCUUGAAUGCAGGAGGUCGUGGAUUCGAUCCCCAGUCGAGUCA
Non-coding RNA from Potamilus streckersoni, 73 nucleotides. The record is from the annotation of a GenBank genome assembly. NCBI's taxonomy places the organism in Eukaryota, Metazoa, Mollusca, Bivalvia, Unionida, Unionidae.